UACGUAGGGUGCGAGCGUUGUCCGGAAUUAUUGGGCGUAAAGAGCUCGUAGGCGGUCUGUCACGUCGGAUGUGAAAACUCGGGGCUCAACCCCGAGCCUGCAUUCGAUACGGGCAGACUAGAGUUCGGUAGGGGAGACUGGAAUUCCUGGUGUAGCGGUGAAAUGCGCAGAUAUCAGGAGGAACACCGGUGGCGAAGGCGGUUCUCUGGGCCUGUACUGACGCUGAGGAGCGAAAGCGUGGGGAGCGAACAGG
This 253-nucleotide ribosomal RNA is filed under the name uncultured bacterium. Its description in RNAcentral is "partial 16S ribosomal RNA". It matches the Rfam family "Bacterial small subunit ribosomal RNA", at positions 524 to 776 of the family's 1533-position model. The record is from RNAcentral.